This 462-nucleotide ribosomal RNA is filed under the name uncultured bacterium. RNAcentral's name for it is "bacterial SSU rRNA". It matches the Rfam family "Bacterial small subunit ribosomal RNA", at positions 30 to 507 of the family's 1533-position model. The record is from RNAcentral.
AUUGAACGCUGGCGGCAGGCCUAACACAUGCAAGUCGAGCGGUAACAUUUCUAGCUUGCUAGAAGAUGACGAGCGGCGGACGGGUGAGUAACGCGUAGAAAUCUACCUAGUAGUGGGGGAUAGCCCAGAGAAAUUUGGAUUAAUACCGCAUACGCCCUACGGGGAAAGCGGGGGAUCUUCGGACCUCGUGCUAUUAGAUGAGUCUGCGUCGGAUUAGCUUGUUGGUGAGGUAAUGGCUCACCAAGGCGACGAUCCGUAGCUGGUCUGAGAGGAUGACCAGCCACACUGGAACUGAGACACGGUCCAGACUCCUACGGGAGGCAGCAGUGGGGAAUAUCGCACAAUGGGCGCAAGCCUGAUGCAGCCAUGCCGCGUGUGUGAUGAAGGUCUUAGGAUCGUAAAGCACUUUCGCCAGGGAUGAUAAUGACAGUACCCGGUAAAGAAACCCCGGCUAACUCCGUG